UCGCAAAAGGCAAUAAGUAUUCCACGUGGGGAGUAACGUUCGCAAGAAUGAAACUCAAAGGAAUUGACGGGACCCGCACAAGCGGUGGAGCAUGUGGUUUAAUUGGAAGCAACGCGAAGAACCUUACCAGGUCUUGACAUCCCUGUGACCGGUCCUUAACCGGGCCUUUCCUUCGGGACAGAGGAGACAGGUGGUGCAUGGUUGUCGUCAGCUCGUGUCGUGAGAUGUUGGGUUAAGUCCCGCAACGAGCGCAACCCCUAUCCCUUAGUAGCCAGCAGUUCGGCUGGGCACUCUAGGGAGACUGCCAGGGAUAACCUGGAGGAAGGCGGGGAUGACGUCAAAUCAUCAUGCCCCUUAUGAUCUGGGCUACACACGUGCUACAAUGGUGGCUACAAAGAGAAGCAACCUCGCGAGAGUGAGCAAAUCUCAGAAAGGCCAUCCCAGUUCGGAUUGUAGUCUGCAACUCGACUACAUGAAGCUGGAAUCGCUAGUAAUCGCGAAUCAGAAUGUCGCGGUGAAUACGUUCCCGG
This 530-nucleotide ribosomal RNA is filed under the name uncultured bacterium. RNAcentral's name for it is "bacterial SSU rRNA". It matches the Rfam family "Bacterial small subunit ribosomal RNA", at positions 848 to 1377 of the family's 1533-position model. The record is from RNAcentral.